AAUGAACGCUGGCGGCGUGCUUAACACAUGCAAGUCGUGCGCGAAGGUGGCUUCGGCCACCGGAGAGCGGCGAACGGGUGAGUAACACGUGGGUGAUCCGCCUGGAAGCGGGGGAUAACCUGGGGAAACUCGGGCUAAUACCGCAUACGUUCCUCGUGAUGCGUCAUGGGGGAGAAAACCGGCCUCUACUUGUAAGCUGG
RNAcentral lists this ribosomal RNA (200 nucleotides) under uncultured bacterium. RNAcentral's name for it is "partial 16S ribosomal RNA". It matches the Rfam family "Bacterial small subunit ribosomal RNA", at positions 29 to 215 of the family's 1533-position model. The record is from RNAcentral.